UACAUAACCUCAGUGGGGUAGGAUUACCCGCUAGACUUAAGCAUAUUAAUCAGCGGAGGAAAAGAAACUAACAAGGAUUCCCCUAGUAACUGCGAGUGAAGAGGGAAUAGCUCAACGUGUGAAUCUGUCCGGGAGUAACCCCUGGUUCAGAGUUGUGCACUGUAGACGUCGGUUUCUGCGCUUGAAUUCCAGUUGUCAGUCCCAAGUCGGAUGAAACACCGCACCACAGAAGGUCAUAGCCCUGUGUCUGACUGUGCUUGAAUUUGCGCCAAUGACCGCACGUUCGUCGAGUCGCGUAGUUUUGUAAUGCUGCGCCAAUUGGGAGGUGGAACCCUUCUAAAGCUAAAUAUCAUGACGUGACCGAUAGCAAACAAGUACCGCGAGGGAAAGGUGAAAAGCAACCAUGUAGAAUGCGUUGAAACAGCAGUGAAAGUGCUACUGGGAUAAGGGCUAUUGAGUGCUAGUCUUUUGGUAGCGUGCUUUAGUGCUGCUCCAGGAGCGGCCUGCGUUGAUUGGAACUGGGAGACAUGCUCGGGGUUGAAUUCGGCCAAUGGCUUGCCACUGGUGUUGUAGCUCCCCGAAGAGUUGAGCCCAGAACCGAUCAAAGAUGCUUUACGGCGUGCAGGUCCUGCGAUCAUUAGCCGCCCGUCUUGAAACACGGACCAAGGAGUGCACCUUACAUGCGAGUCGAAGGGACUGUAAUCCCCGAGGCGUAGCGAAAGCGAAGACCGUGAAUGUCCUUGAGGCAGGCGACGGCGCCCACCGAGAGGUGAGGUAGAGCAUGCAGGGUGCGACCCGAAAGAUGGUGAACUAUGCUCGGGCAAGGUGAAGCCAGUGGAAACGCUGGUGGAGGCCGNAAGGAUUCUGACNUUCNAAUCGAUCGUGCGACCCUGGGUAUAGGGGNGAAAGA
This 910-nucleotide ribosomal RNA is filed under the name uncultured Cantharellales. RNAcentral's name for it is "LSU rRNA". It matches the Rfam family "Eukaryotic large subunit ribosomal RNA", at positions 1 to 930 of the family's 3401-position model. The record is from RNAcentral. Lineage: Eukaryota; Fungi; Basidiomycota; Agaricomycetes; Cantharellales.